This 253-nucleotide ribosomal RNA is filed under the name uncultured bacterium. RNAcentral describes it as "partial 16S ribosomal RNA". It matches the Rfam family "Bacterial small subunit ribosomal RNA", at positions 524 to 776 of the family's 1533-position model. The record is from RNAcentral.
UACGUAGGUGGCGAGCGUUGUCCGGAUUUACUGGGCGUAAAGAGCGCGCAGGCGGUCGUAUAAGUCGAAUGUGAAAGCCCCCGGCUCAACUGGGGAGGGUCAUUCGAUACUGUUCGACUCGAAGGCAGGAGAGGGAAGUGGAAUUCCGGGUGUAGUGGUGAAAUGCGUAGAUAUCCGGAGGAACACCAGUGGCGAAGGCGACUUUCUGGCCUGUUCUUGACGCUGAGGCGCGAAAGCUAGGGGAGCAAACGGG